UGCGAAGCACGGCUCUUGCUAGGGCUAGUGUUGGCAAAUUCUCUCAGGUUGAGCCAAUGAACUCACCUACCCGUCCACGCGUAGCUAGAAUAGCCCCUUAGGCUACCAACAAACAAGUAGCUGAAAAAACUCCUUACAAGUGUUUUUAGUUGAGUUCAGUCGCAUUUUUUUUGAGCGACCAAAGUUGAUUACUUGCAAUCAGCUCGUGUGAACCGGCUUUACUCAAUGUGAUAUUGAAAUACCCUAGCCAUGUCGUAUUAUUUCAUGAGCUGUUAGUAUAUUUUGCGUUCUACGUUUGAUAUUAUAGUGGGUAUUUUAGUUCGGGCGCAAGUUUUACGUUUGGCCAGUCCGGCAAGUUCAUGACGCGCGCCGUAAAUUUUGUAUUUGGCAUCUGAACGUUUCAGAAAGUUUAUAUUUUCUAAGGUAAUAUAGACAUCUAACUUACAGCCUACCUGCUGCAAAGCGGUUAUCGGAUUACUGACACUACAGCGCGGCUUAUUUUGAAAUAAUAUUAUCAGUUCAAUUGCAUCGGUAAAGACGGCUGUCUUAUCCAGAAAUUCGAAAAACGUGACUACUUCGGGACAGAAAAAAGCAUAAUGGUUGUGGUACCUACCAGUACGAAAUUUCCCUGCCUCUGGAAAUUAAGAUAGGGAUAAUGGAAAUAUUUUUCAUUGUCUUGGAUGCAGAUGAAUAUGCAGUCCACCAAUUGGUGAACAAAGAAGUUGUCAUAGAGAACACCAUCCAGGAAAGGGAAAAAAUAUUAUGUAGUUAGGCUGUAGAUGAGAAAACUGUUACUACAGAUGUAUAAAAAAGUAGCUGUAAUAAAUUGAAAAGGCAGCGGUAAAAAGGCGUCUUCUGAUUACCGAGACGAUCUAUUAUUAUCAUUAAGAUCCUCUAGCCCGGUGGUCGGAAAACACGCUACCUAAAAGAGCGAUUAACGAAAUUAAAGUUUUUUUUAAACUGAAUCUUUAUUUAGAGGCUUUAUUUUCAAAAAUUUUACUCGACUCUUACAAGGUAAGUUAACAAACUAUGUUCAUUGGCUGCAUUAAGCAUUUAGUGCCAAGGACAGGCACGAAAGUCCACUAUGCGUCCUUGCUUCGGGGACGUGACGUUCCUAAGAUCAUCCUUUUUCCAGAUCAUUAAGCUUGUUCCUAAUCACGAUCGCAUUUGUGAACAGAUUUACAUUGGAUACGUAAUCUUUUUUAACUUUAAGAGAGUUGCUCCAAAAUUGAGAUGCCAGCGUUCAAGUCAUAUGUGCAGGUUCACCCUUUAAUGUAAGUCGCCUCGUAUAAUAAAAUAAAUCCGGAUAUUUAGGUACUGGUGGUGAGGCGCAUUUUGCACCCGGUUCUACGUUUACUCAAUCCUAAAUAUUGUACCAAUUUGCCGGUACAAGAUUUCUAGCUACCCGAGAUUUUAACAUAGUAGGAAGCGGCAUUCACUUUGUAAUGUCUAUGAAUUGUGCCACUUAACAUCAGUAGUGCUACGGCCUUAAGCUUCAGAGCUCGUCUGCCGCUCUUACUUAACAUAACAGUAACGAAUUUUUUUUUUUUUUUUGCUAAGGAACAAGAUUCCCAAUUUGUCAGUCAAAUUUUUAUCAAUGAUUUAUGUCAUUUACGUUUAUGGAAAUCUGAUAGUACGUUUUAAAAUAAAGAUUUCAUGUUGACAGAAACUUGUAAUCUUUUUGUUACUGCGCAAAAAAUCGACUGACCUCCGAAAAACGUCACAACUUUCUUCAAUAAAAUCAAUGAAAUAUUGAACAUAAAAUGAAAUGUUUUGGAAUCUACCGCCGGAUCGGAAACGCGACCCACUGAGAAUAUCGACGAGAAAGAUAACCGGUGCUUGGGGAACCUAAAAGCACCGUUAGUGGAUCGGGAGGAUCCGUGACGUGACGAUGACGUGUUUUGGGCAAUGUCGACUGUUUACCAUUUGGUCUGCAGGAUCGACUAAGCAGUUACCGGCGGCUACGAUGAGAUGGUUCUCGUGUCGUGCCGCUUUAUGGAAAUGGGUUUAGUAUACUUAAGGGAAAAACCCAAGCAACAAAUUAUUCUGCAUGUCAUGGUUUCUGUUAUUGAAAUGUAUUGUUAGUUAAUAUAAUCGAUUUUAAUUAAUUAUUAUAAUACAUUAGAUUAAGAAAAAUCAUAAAUCAUACAUAACAUAACAAAAUCUAAUUUUAUCUCAAAGUUGUAUGCAAAGUGUAGAAAUUGCACAAAUCAAACAAGUUUAUCUCUUUCAUCCUUGAUAAUAAAGACAGAUACUUUAA
This is a long non-coding RNA of Bombyx mori (domestic silkworm), 2260 nucleotides long. RefSeq lists it as uncharacterized. The transcript has 2 exons. Lineage: Eukaryota; Metazoa; Arthropoda; Insecta; Lepidoptera; Bombycidae. The record is from RefSeq and is a predicted model, not a curated record.